This 96-nucleotide microRNA precursor is filed under the name Anopheles arabiensis. Lineage: Eukaryota; Metazoa; Arthropoda; Insecta; Diptera; Culicidae. The record is from RNAcentral.
UUAUUCUCCGCUUUGUAGGCGAACAUGUUUUCUAGUACACGUUUUCAGUUAAAGUUUCGUGACUAGAUUACAUGCUCGUCUAUAAUACUGAGAUCG